AUAUACUAAACCAGAUGCGUUUCCUAAUUUUGAAAUGUGUAAAGCUGGCAUUUAAAUAAACCAAACCACUGAAUAAGAAGGUCUGUAAAAGAAACCUGAAAGAUUUCUGUCAGACCUUCAAAGAGCAUGAAGGACAGGCCUUGUCUAGUUCUGCUCAUAUGCAGCAGUCACUGGAAAGAUUUAGGGGUCUUUCCAUAGGAAUGUGAUUUUUUUUUUUUUAAUAACAGUGCUGAGUCUGAUCAAAUAACAAGAAAUGGCUCUUCUCACAGUAUCAGUAACUCAGAGAUACCUUCUUGCCAUUAGAAAUUCAUUAACUAUCUCUGCACAACCAGGAGCAGAUUCUAACUGCUGAAAGGGAACACUCCGCAACAUGCAAACAGAAAACUACAAUUUAAUUCUGCAAUGUAUCUUGAAGCCUGUUGCUCAGAAAGGCAGCAGUACAGCAGGGGAAGAGCAGAAACAAAAACCUGGCAGAACCUCAAGUGUGAGGCUAGCAACCAAAACAGGUAUCACUGAACAAAAGCAGGACAACAGGACACAAGUAUGCAAGAUCAGCCCUGAAACCACUGCAGCUUCCGAAGCACAACCUGCCUGGUUGCCUUGUGAUUUGUGAAUGGAAAUAUUCUCCUUUAUUCCUAAAAUUAUUUUUCUAAUAUCUAUAAAAUUAAAAUGUUGCACAAAAA
Columba livia (rock pigeon) is the source of this 683-nucleotide long non-coding RNA. RefSeq lists it as uncharacterized. The transcript has 2 exons. The record is from RefSeq and is a predicted model, not a curated record. NCBI's taxonomy places the organism in Eukaryota, Metazoa, Chordata, Aves, Columbiformes, Columbidae.